Molecule: ribosomal RNA, 1314 nt
Filed under: Candidatus Phytoplasma pruni -related phytoplasma
Lineage: Bacteria; Bacillati; Mycoplasmatota; Mollicutes; Acholeplasmatales; Acholeplasmataceae
Description: bacterial SSU rRNA
Rfam family: Bacterial small subunit ribosomal RNA
Source: RNAcentral
AAAGUAAAGGCAUCUUUACUUUUUUAAAAGACCUUCUUUGAAGGUAUGCUUAAGGAGGGGCUUGCGACACAUUAGUUAGUUGGCAGGGUAAAGGCCUACCAAGACUAUGAUGUGUAGCUGGACUGAGAGGUUGAACAGCCACAUUGGGACUGAGACACGGCCCAAACUCCUACGGGAGGCAGCAGUAGGGAAUUUUCGGCAAUGGAGGAAACUCUGACCGAGCAACGCCGCGUGAACGAUGAAGUACCUCGGUAUGUAAAGUUCUUUUAUUAAGGAAGAAAAAAGAGUGGAAAAACUCCCUUGACGGUACUUAAUGAAUAAGCCCCGGCUAAUUAUGUGCCAGCAGCCGCGGUAAUACAUAAGGGGCGAGCGUUAUCCGGAAUUAUUGGGCGUAAAGGGUGCGUAGGCGGUUUAAUAAGUUUAUAGUUUAAUUUCAGCGCUUAACGCUGUUGUGCUAUAGAAACUGUUUUACUAGAGUGAGUUAGAGGCAAGCGGAAUUCCAUGUGUAGCGGUAAAAUGCGUAAAUAUAUGGAGGAACACCAGAGGCGUAGGCGGCUUGCUGGGACUUUACUGACGCUGAGGCACGAAAGCGUGGGGAGCAAACAGGAUUAGAUACCCUGGUAGUCCACGCCGUAAACGAUGAGUACUAAGUGUCGGGUAAAACCGGUACUGAAGUUAACACAUUAAGUACUCCGCCUGAGUAGUACGUACGCAAGUAUGAAACUUAAAGGAAUUGACGGGACUCCGCACAAGCGGUGGAUCAUGUUGUUUAAUUCGAAGAUACACGAAAAACCUUACCAGGUCUUGACAUUUUCUUGCGAAGUUAUAGAAAUAUAAUGGAGGUUAUCAGGAAAACAGGUGGUGCAUGGUUGUCGUCAGCUCGUGUCGUGAGAUGUUAGGUUAAGUCCUAAAACGAGCGCAACCCUUGUCGUUAAUUGCCAGCAUGUAAUGAUGGGGACUUUAACGAGACUGCCAAUGAAAAAUUGGAGGAAGGUGGGGAUUACGUCAAAUCAUCAUGCCCCUUAUGAUCUGGGCUACAAACGUGAUACAAUGGUUGAUACAAAGAGUAGCUGAAACGCGAGUUCUUAGCCAAUCUCACAAAAUCAAUCUCAGUUCGGAUUGAAGUCUGCAACUCGACUUCAUGAAGUUGGAAUCGCUAGUAAUCGCGAAUCAGCAUGUCGCGGUGAAUACGUUCUCGGGGUUUGUACACACCGCCCGUCAAACCACGAAAGUUGGCAAUACCCCAAAGCGGUCACCUAACUUCGCAAGAAGAAGGAUCCGUCUAAGGUAGGGUCGAUGAUUGGGGUUAAGUCG